GGGCGGUCUCCUCCUAAAGAGUAACGGAGGAGUACGAAGGUGCGCUCAGACCGGUCGGAAAUCGGUCGCAGAGUAUAAAGGCAAAAGCGCGCUUGACUGCGAGACAGACACGUCGAGCAGGUACGAAGUAGGUCUUAGUGAUCCGGUGGUUCUGUAUGGAAGGGCCAUCGCUCAACGGAUAAAAGGUACUCCGGGGAUAACAGGCUGAUACCGCCCAAGAGUUCAUAUCGACGGCGGUGUUUGGCACCUCGA
RNAcentral lists this ribosomal RNA (252 nucleotides) under Pseudomonas aeruginosa. Its description in RNAcentral is "partial 23S ribosomal RNA". It matches the Rfam family "Bacterial large subunit ribosomal RNA", at positions 2277 to 2529 of the family's 2925-position model. The record is from RNAcentral. Lineage: Bacteria; Pseudomonadati; Pseudomonadota; Gammaproteobacteria; Pseudomonadales; Pseudomonadaceae.